This is a non-coding RNA of Alternaria sp. BMP 0032, 105 nucleotides long. The record is from the annotation of a GenBank genome assembly. NCBI's taxonomy places the organism in Eukaryota, Fungi, Ascomycota, Dothideomycetes, Pleosporales, Pleosporaceae.
GCCCGGCUAGCUCAAUCGGUAGAGCGUGAGACUCUUAGCUUUCACGUCCUAACUAGACUCGAUUGGUUCAUCUCAAGGUUGUGGGUUCGACCCCCACGUCGGGCU